Long non-coding RNA from Oncorhynchus masou masou (cherry salmon), 762 nucleotides. RefSeq lists it as uncharacterized. NCBI's taxonomy places the organism in Eukaryota, Metazoa, Chordata, Actinopteri, Salmoniformes, Salmonidae. The transcript has 3 exons. The record is from RefSeq and is a predicted model, not a curated record.
ACACCUUUGGAUGCCAUCGCUCAGUUCAGGAAGCAUAUUGAUUUGUGCAAGACGAAGAUUAGCAGAGCUGGCGUUUGAGCAGAAUGCUUGGAUGUCAAAGCAGUUCCAGUCCUUUGGUGACCUGUUUGAUGCCCAGGAACACAAGCAGCAAGAAACUCACCUUUGUGCCCAUGAGGUUUGGCAAUGCAUGUGUGACGCAGAAGGCUGUCAUUUACAAGACAGUACAAUCAUUCAAGCUUACACACAUGCAUCCCCACUCAUGACAGUUAUCAUCUGUUAAGAGACUGUUUUGUUAUCCCGACCCAGAGAGCCUGGAGACAGGGCCACAGGAAUAUGAUGUUUAGGCGUGAAACCAAGAAUGCUGUCUAAGAACAGUCUAAGAAAGGAGGCAUCCUGGCACUGCAAGUGAAAGAGAAGGAUGAUCCCCACUCGGUUAGUGCAUGUUUAUUCAUUCACUCACUCAUUCACCACGGCACAAACAUUGUCAUGUUCUACAAACUCUGAAGCCUCUCUCAGGGCACAAAGGCUACACAUUGAUGCACAGGAUAGCGCAUGCAAAGUCAAUGAGUGUAGACCUACGGUAGGUUAAUAGAUACCAAGUUCUAAACCUCAUGGUAAAUUCACUGACUUACAGUGGAAGAAGCCCUGCAAGGUUCUCAGGUCAAGUUUUAUGGUGUGUGACAAUGAAUAAAACCACUAAGCACAUCCAAUUCAACAUUUUGAUGCAAUUUGAUGAUACUGCAAAUACUGUAACAUUAAGAA